Molecule: non-coding RNA, 844 nt
Organism: Paramuricea clavata
Lineage: Eukaryota; Metazoa; Cnidaria; Anthozoa; Malacalcyonacea; Plexauridae
Source: the annotation of a GenBank genome assembly
AACAACCGAAUGAGAUUCAAAAUUUUUAAGUUGAUAUAAAAAGUUCAGUAAAGAUGAAAAUAUCAUGAACAAUUCAGGAAAUAUUAAAAAUAUCAGGUAGGAAAGUAUGUUAGGUCCGGAAUAUUUUUUGCACCCUCCACCCCCAAAUAAAAACUGUUUCGCUUGUCAAAUCUGAAUUUCUCUAAUAACAUUGUCAGACUGGUUAGAUCCAUUAAAUGGAAUACAAAACUUUCGCUUCCGAGAUUGGUCUGACGGAAAAAUUUUGAUCAAAUCAACAUGAGGUCCAUUUUUAUCAGACGUCCGAAAACUUGGCCCAGAUCUUGCUUGAAAAUAUAACCCGUUAUAGUAUGCAAGACUUUCCCCUUGACGAGUAAAUUCAUCUGGCAUUAGACAGAGUAAAAUACUAAAGUAGGGCCCAUUUUGGCGCAUUGCAGCUUAAUGGGUUAUAAGAGAGAGAAAUUCUGCCCAGCAUGGCUGGUCUGACCAUUUCAAAUGGAAAGCGUGCUUUGUGUCUUUCUUGUAAAUAUAUCCAGUGCUUGCAAUAUGAUUAUGAACUUUAGCUAAAUUGAGGACUUUAUGUAAAUUUGUAUGCGGCAUAUAACAAAGUACGCAUUAUCAAAGUUGAGUUAUAGAAUUAUAGUGGCAUGCAGUCAUUGUUUUAUUAGGUUAACCAGUGCAUGUAGUGAUUAAGAAUCAAGUAAUAACAAAUAUAUGGACAAAAUAUUUAGAUUUAUAUUCCAGUAAAAUAUCGUGUUAGUUUUCAUAGGUAUAGUAAAAUAUUUCAUAUUGAUGUUUAAUAAAAGUAUUUGUCAUAAAAGUUUCUGAAUUUCUUUAGUUUUUCCCC